Molecule: long non-coding RNA, 2374 nt
Organism: Oxyura jamaicensis (ruddy duck)
Lineage: Eukaryota; Metazoa; Chordata; Aves; Anseriformes; Anatidae
Exons: 2
Source: RefSeq, a predicted model, not a curated record
GGAUAAGGUUAGAAAUCAAAGUCAUCAUGAUUCCUGAACAGUUUUACAUCCUUCCAUGUGGUUAGGAUGCUGUCUGCCUGGCUUUAAAUAAAUCAAAGACAUAGAAUGAACUGAUGUCUGGUCUUCUGCUGUAUCUCUUGAAAUAUGCAGAUCAAAUGUUGCCCACCUCUGUGAGAUGAUAGUUUCCAAGGUAGAGUGGCCUCUAGAUUGGGUUGAAGCAUUCCCCUUUUACUGUGACUUCAACUCAGAAAAUGGAGAGAUGUCUGAAUAACAAGUUUGUCAUAACAAACAUUUUCUAUAAGUGCCAAGUCUCCUACUAAAUUGCCUGCAUUUUCUUUCCAUGGAGUAAUUUUUGAAUAGAGAUAAGUCAGCUAUUUUGUUUGUCAGUACUAAUUUGAAAAAGCUAAGUUCAUUAUGUUUCAAAAGCCUUAGAUAUAACAGACCAGCUCCAGAUGACAUUGCAUCAGUGUCUUGAUGUGACACUGGGACAGAUGGAUAUCCUUGUGGAUUUCCAUUUGAACUCCCCAUUUCAUCUUACUCUCUCCCAGUUGUUUAAAAUUCUUUCAGGCUAAGAAAAAUGCAUAAACACAAUUCCAUUCCACUGAUCUUAAAAUAUGUAGAAUAGCCCCUAUAGUACUUUUCUUCCUCAUUGGAGAUGGUCUCAGCUUCUUCAGCCUCUCGUUAACGAACAUUUUCACUGACAGUAACGUCCCCAUUUCUGUCCUACACUACAUGUUCUUCAUCCUUCUUCAUGGACGAUUCCAGUGCUGCAGUGACUGCAGCUAUAUGCUGCUUUAGAAAGUGUUUAGCAAUUACAGUAAUGGUAUCAUUUGGGGAAGCUGGUAAUCAAAUUUCUGCUGCAGAAGGUUUUUGCCUCUUGUUCCUUCACGUUCUAAGAAAUUCAGUAACAGCUUUGUCCUGUUUCUAAUUUAUUCCUUAUUCCAUUUCACUCUUGUUUCUGAUGAAACAACCCCUCACAAUCUGAUAUGAGUGAAAGGCAACACAGCAUCAAAAGAAACGUUUGGCUGCCAAGCAAAAGACAAAAUGUACCAGUAGGGUGCUGUGCAUCGGCACUGCUUCCAGGAGGCAGCCGUCUUCCAGAUCUUGCCCUCAGAGAGAACACAACCAAAAUGUUUUAAUGAAGAAUACCGGCAGUUGGCUACAAGAAACCGCACUUGCUCUUUCUGCAACACCAUUUGGACUCGCAUCACUUGUGCGUGUUAAAGGGUGUUUGGAUUCCUGCCUUGCUCUUCCAGCCUUGACCACUUCUACCUGCCCUGGCCUCCCGUGGUCCCCGUGCAACUCCAGAGGAGAACUCUUGGGUAUUGCUUCCCCCUGCCAUGUAGAUCAACUGAAGCAUUCAUUUUCCAGUGAGCUUCCCAGUUGUAUUGGCACAACUUUGGGGGUGGUGGGAGGGAGCAGAGAUACAGGAGGGAAAAAGAGUGACUGGAGGCAACAAACUUCCCAGCUGGUUUCGCUGCCUAACCAGACAUGUAGAAGUGAACCUGGAACUCGCUUUGAAGUAGCUAGCUGAGCAGCAGCCUUGGUGAGCUACAGCACAGCGCAGUCACCUGCACAGCUUCUGUUUCACAAGUAGGCUCUGCAGCCUGCGCUGGUUUGGUGCCAUGACAACACUGCCUGUGGUACCUGCAAGAGCGAGUUUAAAUAUAGUUUAUCCACCGUCUCAGUGAGCUCUGGUCCAUGCAGCGCAGGCAAACAGCAAGAUGUAAUUAUGGAGUAUUCAAGUUGGAAGCUAAAUGCUCUGUUAAGGGUGCCUUUCUUUCACUUGCACAGUCCCUUUUACAGUUAUCUCUAGGGCCUGUUGACUUCAAUCCACUUGUUUUCAAAACAUGCCUGCAGGGCAGGGAAGCAGCCCUGUCCAUGUCCUGCAGGGAGAGAUCUGAAAAGCACCAGGUGUGGAAACUUGUUCACUUUGCAAGCAGCAAGGAAAGUUUGGAACUUUACUGCUCCCCUUUACUGUUCCCACCUGUUUGAGGGCACUCAGAGUGCCGCAGCUGAGCUGAUGGGCUGUGGCUCUUCAUUCUUCAGCACAAUGCUGGGCAGCUGAUGGAGGUGGCCCAAGCUAUUCUGACUUGUAUGUAAGGUGGACUGGGAACAGAAGUUAUUUUCUGCCCUACAGCCUGAACAACAGAGGCAACAGCCUCUGACUGACAAGUGCUGGUGGCCGUUGUGGGGUGAAGCACUGUCCUGAAAUGCCAGGAGCUGCUGUGCACUCGUCCUUGACAGGAAGGGCAAGCUGAGCAAACAGGGCAGAGGACGAGCGUGUGAGGUGGCCGCGGGGGAGCCAGCAGCGGGGACAGAGCUGCUCUGACUGCUCGAGAAUCUCUACGGCAACUGGGAAGGGCUGAAAGCA